This 468-nucleotide ribosomal RNA is filed under the name uncultured bacterium. Its description in RNAcentral is "partial 16S ribosomal RNA". It matches the Rfam family "Bacterial small subunit ribosomal RNA", at positions 28 to 507 of the family's 1533-position model. The record is from RNAcentral.
GACGAACGCUGGCGGCGUGCUUAACACAUGCAAGUCGAACGGAAAGGCCCUGCUUUUGUGGGGUGCUCGAGUGGCGAACGGGUGAUUAACACGUGAGUAACCUGCCCUUGACUUUGGGAUAACUUCAGGAAACUGGGGCUAAUACCGGAUAGGAGCUCCUGCUGCAUGGUGGGGGUUGGAAAGUUUCGGCGGUUGGGGAUGGACUCGCGGCUUAUCAGCUUGUUGGUGGGGUAGUGGCUUACCAAGGCUUUGACGGGUAGCCGGCCUGAGAGGGUGACCGGCCACAUUGGGACUGAGAUACGGCCCAGACUCCUACGGGAGGCAGCAGUGGGGAAUAUUGCACAAUGGGCGGAAGCCUGAUGCAGCAACGCCGCGUGCGGGAUGACGGCCUUCGGGUUGUAAACCGCUUUCGCCUGUGACGAAGCGUGAGUGACGGUAAUGUGUAAAGAAGCACCGGCUAACUACGUG